Molecule: long non-coding RNA, 506 nt
Organism: Vicia villosa (hairy vetch)
Lineage: Eukaryota; Viridiplantae; Streptophyta; Magnoliopsida; Fabales; Fabaceae
Exons: 3
Source: RefSeq, a predicted model, not a curated record
AUCCAUAUUAACCUGAUAUAUAUAUCAUCCUUUGUAACCUUGGUGAGCAAACCCUAGCCGUUCCAAACACAACCAUUUUUCUUUGGCUUUGUUUUCUCUCCGAUUCAGAAACUCAACAAGGUUCUUUGAUUUACUUUUCUAUCCUGAAGAUUCAGUAUUUAUAAGAUCUGAAAACUUGUGGUGACACGAAGAAUCUAAAGUUAAUUUCAAGAUGAAGAUCUUGUUAGAAAGAUACCACAAAUGUUUAACCAAGAAAUUGUCAACAAAAUUGUUGUAGGUUUUGUGACGGUACAUCAGCAAAGCAAGUUGGGGAUUAGCAUUACAGAACAUUUCUUUAUGUAGGAUCUUCCUGUGUAUGGAUUAUUAUAGCAUCAUAAAGGAGGAAUUGCUUUGUGUCUCCUUCAAGUCUAUGUUGCGAAGGAAGCAUCAACAUAACAAAUAUAUGAGCAUAUAUGGACAUUUGGACAAACAUAAAUUGUGUUUACUUGAUUUUAAGAAAUAACAAA